CAGUAAUGGCGAAUGAACAGAGACUAGGUCAAAACCGAAUCGCGCUGCUUAAACAGGUUGCUGCGAGUUGUGGUGUAUGGCCAUCUUAAAAAAAUAGUAUUACUGGCAUUGCGAUGAGUUCGGUUGAAUACGACGUUUACCAUAGAGGGUGAUAGGCCCAUAUUCGUCGUGUCAGUGUACUUAACAGAUGGCCUAAGAGUCGAGUUGUUUGAGAUUGCAACUCAAACGCGUGUGGUAAACUCCAUACAAACCUAAAUAUGUCGACGAUACCGAUAGCAAAGAAGUACCGUGAGGGAAAGUUGAAAAGAACUUUGAAAAGAGAGUUAAACAGGACGUGAAACUGCACAUUGAAAAGCGAAUGAGCACGCAUUCGUUCGACUCGUGAUUCAAAUGUUCGUGGUUGUGUGCCAGUUUUGGUACGCGGUCAUGUGCAUUGCAUUUUGCGAGCCGACAACCUGCCUGACUUUGAAUUGGCCACAGUUUCGGCAAAGUACACGUCCAUUUUCUAUUGAUGGAUCGUGAGUUGUCAGUCGUGUGCUGAAUGCACUUGCGUAGCAGGCUGGCCAUGAUUAACAUGUGCUGGUCGUUUGCUGGUUUGGAGUUGUAAAGUUUGAUUUGCGUUACCUAUCGUCGCCAGCAAUGGCGAUGAUGUUGAUGGUUCUGGAGCGCGGACCAUGAGUGUAUGCGGGGUGUACCCUGUGUGCACUUGUGCGACCGUCGUUCCUGAAUUUCAUCGGUCUUGCGCACUGAAGGCAGGAUUUGCUGCGGCAUCAUUCGAACCGUCUUGAAACACGGGCUAAGGAGUUCAACAGAUGCGCGAGUUUACUGGUCACAAGAAACCAGAAGGCGCAGCUAACGCGAUGUUGUGUAUAAUGGCGAUAAUUCGACAGUUGCUGAAGAUUGUUUUCUGAAGCUCCGUCGGAGUCAUCGCCUAUCAUGGAUGGCAUGUGAGUAAUGAAUGCUGUUCGCAGUUGAGCGCAUGUGCUGAGACCCGAAAGAUGGUGAACUAUGCCUGAGUAGGAUGAAGUCGGGGGAAACUCUGAUGGAGGUCCGAAGCGUUUUUGACGUGCAAAUCAAUCGUCAGACUUGGGUAUAGGGGCGAAAGACUAAUCGAACCAUCUAGUAGCUGGUUCCCUUCGAAGUUU
This 1145-nucleotide ribosomal RNA is filed under the name Acanthogyrus tylosuri. Its description in RNAcentral is "partial large subunit ribosomal RNA". It matches the Rfam family "Eukaryotic large subunit ribosomal RNA", at positions 81 to 969 of the family's 3401-position model. Lineage: Eukaryota; Metazoa; Acanthocephala; Eoacanthocephala; Gyracanthocephala; Quadrigyridae. The record is from RNAcentral.